RNAcentral lists this ribosomal RNA (1934 nucleotides) under Salmonella enterica subsp. enterica serovar Montevideo. Its description in RNAcentral is "partial 23S ribosomal RNA". It matches the Rfam family "Bacterial large subunit ribosomal RNA", at positions 911 to 2824 of the family's 2925-position model. The record is from RNAcentral. Lineage: Bacteria; Pseudomonadati; Pseudomonadota; Gammaproteobacteria; Enterobacterales; Enterobacteriaceae.
UGUUUCGGCUAGGGGGCCAUCCCGGCUUACCAACCCGAUGCAAACUGCGAAUACCGGAGAAUGUUAUCACGGGAGACACACGGCGGGUGCUAACGUCCGUCGUGAAGAGGGAAACAACCCAGACCGCCAGCUAAGGUCCCAAAGUCAUGGUUAAGUGGGAAACGAUGUGGGAAGGCCCAGACAGCCAGGAUGUUGGCUUAGAAGCAGCCAUCAUUUAAAGAAAGCGUAAUAGCUCACUGGUCGAGUCGGCCUGCGCGGAAGAUGUAACGGGGCUAAACCAUGCACCGAAGCUGCGGCAGCGACGCUGAUGCGUUGUUGGGUAGGGGAGCGUUCUGUAAGCCUGCGAAGGUGGCCUGUGAGGGUUGCUGGAGGUAUCAGAAGUGCGAAUGCUGACAUAAGUAACGAUAAAGCGGGUGAAAAGCCCGCUCGCCGGAAGACCAAGGGUUCCUGUCCAACGUUAAUCGGGGCAGGGUGAGUCGACCCCUAAGGCGAGGCCGAAAGGCGUAGUCGAUGGGAAACGGGUUAAUAUUCCCGUACUUGGUGUUACUGCGAAGGGGGGACGGAGAAGGCUAUGUUGGCCGGGCGACGGUUGUCCCGGUUUAAGCGUGUAGGUGUGUGUUCCAGGUAAAUCCGGUUCACUUUAACACUGAGGCGUGAUGACGAGGCACUACGGUGCUGAAGCAACAAAUGCCCUGCUUCCAGGAAAAGCCUCUAAGCAUCAGGUAACAUCAAAUCGUACCCCAAACCGACACAGGUGGUCAGGUAGAGAAUACCAAGGCGCUUGAGAGAACUCGGGUGAAGGAACUAGGCAAAAUGGUGCCGUAACUUCGGGAGAAGGCACGCUGACACGUAGGUGAAGUGAUUUACUCAUGGAGCUGAAGUCAGUCGAAGAUACCAGCUGGCUGCAACUGUUUAUUAAAAACACAGCACUGUGCAAACACGAAAGUGGACGUAUACGGUGUGACGCCUGCCCGGUGCCGGAAGGUUAAUUGAUGGGGUCAGCGCAAGCGAAGCUCCUGAUCGAAGCCCCGGUAAACGGCGGCCGUAACUAUAACGGUCCUAAGGUAGCGAAAUUCCUUGUCGGGUAAGUUCCGACCUGCACGAAUGGCGUAAUGAUGGCCAGGCUGUCUCCACCCGAGACUCAGUGAAAUUGAACUCGCUGUGAAGAUGCAGUGUACCCGCGGCAAGACGGAAAGACCCCGUGAACCUUUACUAUAGCUUGACACUGAACAUUGAGCCUUGAUGUGUAGGAUAGGUGGGAGGCUUUGAAGUGUGGACGCCAGUCUGCAUGGAGCCGACCUUGAAAUACCACCCUUUAAUGUUUGAUGUUCUAACGUGGACCCGUGAUCCGGGUUGCGGACAGUGUCUGGUGGGUAGUUUGACUGGGGCGGUCUCCUCCUAAAGAGUAACGGAGGAGCACGAAGGUUGGCUAAUCCUGGUCGGACAUCAGGAGGUUAGUGCAAUGGCAUAAGCCAGCUUGACUGCGAGCGUGACGGCGCGAGCAGGUGCGAAAGCAGGUCAUAGUGAUCCGGUGGUUCUGAAUGGAAGGGCCAUCGCUCAACGGAUAAAAGGUACUCCGGGGAUAACAGGCUGAUACCGCCCAAGAGUUCAUAUCGACGGCGGUGUUUGGCACCUCGAUGUCGGCUCAUCACAUCCUGGGGCUGAAGUAGGUCCCAAGGGUAUGGCUGUUCGCCAUUUAAAGUGGUACGCGAGCUGGGUUUAGAACGUCGUGAGACAGUUCGGUCCCUAUCUGCCGUGGGCGCUGGAGAACUGAGGGGGGCUGCUCCUAGUACGAGAGGACCGGAGUGGACGCAUCACUGGUGUUCGGGUUGUCAUGCCAAUGGCACUGCCCGGUAGCUAAAUGCGGAAGAGAUAAGUGCUGAAAGCAUCUAAGCACGAAACUUGCCCCGAGAUGAGUUCUCCCUGAGACUUUA